Molecule: signal recognition particle RNA, 284 nt
Filed under: Castor canadensis (American beaver)
Lineage: Eukaryota; Metazoa; Chordata; Mammalia; Rodentia; Castoridae
Description: Metazoan signal recognition particle RNA (ENSCCNG00000017153.1)
Rfam family: Metazoan signal recognition particle RNA
About the family: The signal recognition particle (SRP) is a universally conserved ribonucleoprotein. It is involved in the co-translational targeting of proteins to membranes.
Source: Rfam by way of RNAcentral
GCCUGGUGUGGUGGUGUCCACCUGAAGUCCUAGCUAAUCCAGAGGCCGAGGAAGGAUGAGGGCUCUAGUCUAUUUGUUCUGGGACAUAGUGCGCUAUGCUUAUGUAUCCACACUAAGUUUGCCAUCAUUGUGGUGACCUUCUGGGAGGAGGAAUUACCAGGUGUCUAAGGAGGGGGGAACUGCCCAGGUUAGAAACAAAGCAGGUCAAUAUUCCCACGCUGAUCAGUAGUGGGAUCGCACCUGUAAAUAGCCACUCCACUCCACUCAAGCCAGAGAAGCACAGU